This 926-nucleotide ribosomal RNA is filed under the name uncultured bacterium. Its description in RNAcentral is "bacterial SSU rRNA". It matches the Rfam family "Bacterial small subunit ribosomal RNA", at positions 1 to 917 of the family's 1533-position model. The record is from RNAcentral. RNAcentral also lists the same sequence under 1 other name.
UGGAUCCAGACUUUGAUUAUGGCUCAGGAUGAACGCUAGCUACAGGCUUAACACAUGCAAGUCGAGGGGAAACGACAUCGAAAGCUUGCUUUUGAUGGGCGUCGACCGGCGCACGGGUGAGUAACGCGUAUCCAACCUGCCCACCACUUGGGGAUAACCUUGCGAAAGUAAGACUAAUACCCAACGACAUCCCACGAAGGCAUCCGAAUGGGAUUAAAGAUUUAUCGGUGAUGGAUGGGGAUGCGUCUGAUUAGCUUGUUGGCGGGGUAACGGCCCACCAAGGCAACGAUCAGUAGGGGUUCUGAGAGGAAGGUCCCCCACAUUGGAACUGAGACACGGUCCAAACUCCUACGGGAGGCAGCAGUGAGGAAUAUUGGUCAAUGGGCGAGAGCCUGAACCAGCCAAGUAGCGUGCAGGAUGACGGCCCUAUGGGUUGUAAACUGCUUUUAUAAGGGAAUAAAGUGAGUCUCGUGAGACUUUUUGCAUGUACCUUAUGAAUAAGGACCGGCUAAUUCCGUGCCAGCAGCCGCGGUAAUACGGAAGGUCCGGGCGUUAUCCGGAUUUAUUGGGUUUAAAGGGAGCGUAGGCCGGAGAUUAAGCGUGUUGUGAAAUGUAGAGGCUCAACCUCUGCACUGCAGCGCGAACUGGUCUUCUUGAGUACGCACAACGUGGGCGGAAUUCGUGGUGUAGCGGUGAAAUGCUUAGAUAUCACGAAGAACUCCGAUUGCGAAGGCAGCUCACGGGAGCGCAACUGACGCUGAAGCUCGAAAGUGCGGGUAUCGAACAGGAUUAGAUACCCUGGUAGUCCGCACGGUAAACGAUGGAUGCCCGCUGUUGGCCUGAAUAGGUCAGCGGCCAAGCGAAAGCAUUAAGCAUCCCACCUGGGGAGUACGCCGGCAACGGUGCAACUCAAAGGAAUUGACGGA